GGGUCUGUAGUCUAGCUUGGUAGGAUCCGAGGUUCGGGACCUCGAGACCGCGGUUCAAAUCCGCGCAGACCCACCA
Molecule: transfer RNA, 76 nt
Rfam family: tRNA
About the family: Transfer RNA (tRNA) molecules are approximately 80 nucleotides in length. Their secondary structure includes four short double-helical elements and three loops (D, anti-codon, and T loops). Further hydrogen bonds mediate the characteristic L-shaped molecular structure. tRNAs have two regions of fundamental functional importance: the anti-codon, which is responsible for specific mRNA codon recognition, and the 3' end, to which the tRNAs corresponding amino acid is attached (by aminoacyl-tRNA synthetases). tRNAs cope with the degeneracy of the genetic code in two manners: having more than one tRNA (with a specific anti-codon) for a particular amino acid; and 'wobble' base-pairing, i.e. permitting non-standard base-pairing at the 3rd anti-codon position.